CCGCGCUAGAUGGGGAGUUGGGGGUGCCCUGUAACCUGCAGAAUCCUCCAUAGCAGGGUCGACGUUCUGCUGAGGCAUCGUCGGGUCGGGACUGCCCGAGAAAAGUGGUAUUGAAGGCCGGGCUCACCGCAACGGAAACUUGUGAACCGGGUCAGGACCUGACCGUAGCAGCCCUAAGCAAGCACUUUUGUGUGCCGGGGAACUACCUGGCUGGAGCUAACUAUCACGGUAACGACGGUUCGGCAAUGUCGAGGACAGGAUGCGCGG
Molecule: signal recognition particle RNA, 267 nt
Filed under: Bacillota bacterium
Lineage: Bacteria; Bacillati; Bacillota
Description: signal recognition particle sRNA large type
Rfam family: Bacterial large signal recognition particle RNA
About the family: The signal recognition particle (SRP) is a universally conserved ribonucleoprotein involved in the co-translational targeting of proteins to membranes. Archaeal SRP consists of a 7S RNA and homologues of the eukaryotic SRP19 and SRP54 proteins.
Source: RNAcentral